GGAAUGCGCUGAUGCUGCAGCGGAGGUGGGAAUUUUGCAUAGUGAGCUAAGUUCGCUUCGUGGGAAUAGGGACAACAGUGGUUGUAUAGUGCAUUCUUGUCCAGCAAUUUGGAAGAAAACUUUAUCUCCAAGGGAGCCUUUCAGAUUUUUCAGUUACAGGGCGAGAGUUAAUAAUAAGCUGGCCAAACCAUCUUCUUUACGUGGGCUCAGGGGUUUAAUUUUUGCAAUUCUCGGAUAUAAGUCCUUGUCACGUGAGAAAGGGCAAUCGCCAUGUUCAAGUACGUGUGAGCCAGAUUUGACAUCAGAGAAAAUGUUGAUAGAGAUUAUGGCCUCUCCACUAACAUAACAUAACCAUUAUUGAU
This 362-nucleotide unclassified non-coding RNA is filed under the name Hevea brasiliensis (rubber tree). Lineage: Eukaryota; Viridiplantae; Streptophyta; Magnoliopsida; Malpighiales; Euphorbiaceae. The record is from RNAcentral.